UGCCAGCUGCAGGUUGGUCUGAUCUCUCUCCUCCACCUCUUGGCUCUUCUGGUCGUAGUUGACGGCGAGCUCCUCCAGCGCCUGCAGCACCUCCUUCACCUCCUCCUUGGUCAGCUGGUUCUCCGUUUGCAGCCGGCACAGCUCCUCCUGGGAGGGACGUGGGGUCAGAUCUAUUCUUGUCUUCCAGCUGUUUGUACAGGUUGCUGAUGUCCUCCUCGUAUUUGCUCCGCUCGUGGCAACAAUAUUAUUUGACUUUUCUUUCACAAAGCUGAACUGUACCUGUAGGUCUGUCUUGAUGAGCGAGGCUCCUGCUUGGACCAGAUAAUGACAGAUAGUUCUUUGACACAGGGACG
Molecule: long non-coding RNA, 353 nt
Organism: Labrus mixtus (cuckoo wrasse)
Lineage: Eukaryota; Metazoa; Chordata; Actinopteri; Labriformes; Labridae
Exons: 3
Source: RefSeq, a predicted model, not a curated record